AACGAACGCUGGCGGCGCGUUUUAAGCAUGCAAGUCGAACGGUAGGGAGGUGCUUGCACCUCCUGAGAGUGGCGAACGGGCGAGUAACGCGUAGGUGAUCUACCAUUUAGUUGGGGAUAGCUCAUGGAAACAUGGGAUAAUACCGAAUGAUCUCUGCAAUCUUGUUUGUAGAGCAAAGGGGCGUUUGCCUCGCUGAAUGAUGAGCCUGCGUAUGAUUAGCUAGUUGGUAAGGUAAUGGCUUACCAAGGCGACGAUCAUUAGCCGGCCUGAGAGGGUGACCGGCCACAUUGGGACUGAGACACGGCCCAG
RNAcentral lists this ribosomal RNA (309 nucleotides) under uncultured bacterium. Its description in RNAcentral is "bacterial SSU rRNA". It matches the Rfam family "Bacterial small subunit ribosomal RNA", at positions 29 to 334 of the family's 1533-position model. The record is from RNAcentral.